Molecule: ribosomal RNA, 465 nt
Filed under: uncultured bacterium
Lineage: Bacteria
Description: bacterial SSU rRNA
Rfam family: Bacterial small subunit ribosomal RNA
Source: RNAcentral
GACGAACGCUGGCGGCGGGCUUAACACAUGCAAGUCGAACGAGGUCCAUCUUGUAGCAAUACAAGUGAAGACCUAGUGGCGAACGGGUGAGGAACACGUGAGAAAUUUGCCCCGAACUUUGGGAUAACAGUUGGAAACGACUGCUAAUACCGAAUGCCGUUACGAAGUGGCAUCACUUUGUAACGAAAGAAUUUCGGUUCGGGAGAAUCUCGCGGCCUAUCAGCUUGUUGGUGAGGUAACGGCUCACCAAGGCUACGACGGGUAGCUGGUCUGAGAGGAUGAUCAGCCACACUGGGACUGAGACACGGCCCAGACUCCUACGGGAGGCAGCAGUGGGGGAAUCUUGUGCAAUGGACGAAAGUCUGACACAGCCACGCCGCGUGCGGGAAGAAGGCCUCGGUGUAACGCUUCAGCAGGAACGAAAAUAGACGGUACCGUGCAGAAGAAGGAGCGGCCAACUACGUG